UCCCCCAUGGCGCAAUUGGCUAGCGCGUCAGACUGUUAAUUUGGAGGUUCAUAGUUCGACCCUAUGUGGGGGAG
Molecule: non-coding RNA, 74 nt
Organism: Schizothecium vesticola
Lineage: Eukaryota; Fungi; Ascomycota; Sordariomycetes; Sordariales; Schizotheciaceae
Source: the annotation of a GenBank genome assembly